Molecule: ribosomal RNA, 475 nt
Filed under: uncultured organism
Description: partial 16S ribosomal RNA
Rfam family: Bacterial small subunit ribosomal RNA
Source: RNAcentral
GUACACUCCUACGGGAGGCAGCAGUGGGGAAUUUUGGACAAUGGGCGAAAGCCUGAUCCAGCAAUGCCGCGUGUGUGAAGAAGGCCUUCGGGUUGUAAAGCACUUUUGUCCGGAAAGAAAUCCUUGGCUCUAAUACAGUCGGGGGAUGACGGUACCGGAAGAAUAAGCACCGGCUAACUACGUGCCAGCAGCCGCGGUAAUACGUAGGGUGCGAGCGUUAAUCGGAAUUACUGGGCGUAAAGCGUGCGCAGGCGGUUUGCUAAGACCGAUGUGAAAUCCCCGGGCUCAACCUGGGAACUGCAUUGGUGACUGGCAGGCUAGAGUAUGGCAGAGGGGGGUAGAAUUCCACGUGUAGCAGUGAAAUGCGUAGAGAUGUGGAGGAAUACCGAUGGCGAAGGCAGCCCCCUGGGCCAAUACUGACGCUCAUGCACGAAAGCGUGGGGAGCAAACAGGAUUAGAAACCCCAGUAGUCCCA